UAAAACAGCAAAAUAUCACCAUCAACACAUCACACACUGCCAAACUGCAAUCUUGUUGCACUAAGAAAAAGCUCUCACAUGACAGCCGUGGUUAACAAGACAGGAAGUCAGCAUUUUCAUGUGGGAGAAGAUAUGAAAUUAUAAAAAAAAUGGAGGAGUGUACAACAGCGUCACACUGCUGAAGGAAACAAAAGGAGGAGAACUCAGACAAGUGAAAGAGAAUGAGUGAAAUUUGAUAGAGAUAAGCAGAUGUGAAAAACAUUUGAAACUAAUCAAAUCAGAAUGCCUUACUUUAUCCUCAAGACUUGGAUAAAGUCAGUCUAAAUCAAAAUUCAUAGUACGGAAAAAGAAUACAUGGCAUUUCAGAAUUGCUUUUGAAAAUUCUACUUUGAAGGUGCUGUUGCUACAAGUGCAUUGAAGUGCACAUAACCCGUGAGUAUAAAGAUAAAGGACAUUUAAAGGUGAGAGAAGAGAAGUCUGACUGAAGAUUUGUAGCGAUGGCGAACAGCUGGACAUUGAUGGUGGUCGUCCUCCUAAGUAUCUUUAUGGCAAGAAGUCAGACAAGAGGAGAUCAAGACACUGGAUCACAUCAGAAUCCAGCUUCUGCGGUUAAAAAACUGACAGUUGUCCAAGAGCAGACCUUUAUUUCAGGCAGCGAUGUGACUUUACAAUGUGACAACCUCACUGUUGUCAAAUGGAAUGAAUUAAUUUAUAUCAUCUGGAACAUCAGCCAGCAAGACAGAACAUGUUGGCUUGGUUUGUCACCCAAGCUGGACGACACAUGCAAUGAUGGAAAGAAGCUGAACAACACCUCAGAUGGAGUUUCCCUAUUCAUUCCCAAGAUUUCAAUAGAAGAUGAAGGAUUUUAUUUUUGUGAUGUAUCAUAUAAAGGAGGAAGCUCUGCACUAAAUGUGACUGUAAGCGUUAUCAACGUUUCCACCAAGCGGUACAGAGAAAACAAUCAAAGGAUUGCUGUCUGUGAAUCCACAUAUACAAUGAAAGCACCCACUCUUCAUUGGGAACCUGCCUUGCACUUUCCCUCCAACAUCAGUUCUGUCAAGAAGCGUGGCAAGUUUUUUAUGCUGGAGAAUCAAGUAUAUCUGCCAGAAAAUGUCAACAUCAGUGAGCUCACCUGUGUGGCCACAUACACCUCUGAGUCCGGCUCUGUGCAGCACAAGAGCACACUUUAUCUUACAGGUUCACAAAACUCAAAUCCCUCAUCUCCAUGGAAAAAUAUUGCCAUAUCAGUUGGCUCUGUUUGUUUUGUUCUUGUAGCGCUGCUUGCGGUUUACAAACUACGCAGAAAGUUUUAUGACAUAAGUGCGUUGAAGAUGCUUUGCUGCAAAUCCAAAAUCUCAACACCAGUUGAAGACAAACCACCCCAUCCCGCUGAUGUUGAAGAGGUGGAACCCUAUGCAAGUUACGUACAGAGAGUCAAUUCCAUCUACAACUCCUCAGCUGAACUCUUCAACGCCUGAGAGACACUCACUUUUCAUGAUGAAACAGGAUACCAGAAGAGAACUGAGGGCAAAGAUAUGUCUGUGUCAAAAUUACACAUGAAAAACAAUACUAGUGGAAAAUAGUCAUCUCAAGAGAGCAUCCCCGAAGCAAACAGCGCCUGACUGAGGAGCAAAAGUCACACUGACUCAAAAGAUGAAAGGUGAUGACAAAGGAACAUUUGUCUUAGUAUGUAAUGAGGAAUAACUGGGACAUCUUCAGCAUCAGCGAUAUCACUAAUAUGUAGAUUUGUAGAGAAUGAACCUGGUUAGAUAUUAAUCAUUUGAACAAAUCAAAUUUGUACAUAUUUAUAUCAGAGUGAAUCAAAAUCAACUGCAAACAAUGUUUUUAUUGAUAAAUACUAAGCAGACCUGAUGUAGAGAAUCUAUUUUACAUUGCAC
RNAcentral lists this long non-coding RNA (1898 nucleotides) under Sinocyclocheilus anshuiensis. RNAcentral describes it as "lncRNA (ENSSANG00000020912.1)". The record is from RNAcentral. Lineage: Eukaryota; Metazoa; Chordata; Actinopteri; Cypriniformes; Cyprinidae.